This 229-nucleotide ribosomal RNA is filed under the name uncultured bacterium. Its description in RNAcentral is "partial 16S ribosomal RNA". It matches the Rfam family "Bacterial small subunit ribosomal RNA", at positions 568 to 796 of the family's 1533-position model. The record is from RNAcentral.
UGCGUAGGCGGAUUAAUAAGUCAGUGGUGAAAACCCGCAGCUUAACUGUAGAACUGCCAUUGAUACUGUUAGUCUUGAGUACGGUCAAGGUAGGCGGAAUGUGUAAUGUAGCGGUGAAAUGCUUAGAUAUUACACAGAACACCGAUUGCGAAGGCAGCUUACUGGACCAUUACUGACGCUGAGGCACGAAAGCGUGGGGAGCGAACAGGAUUAGAUACCCUGGUAGUCC